AAUAAAAAUAUAUACAAUCAUUAAAGCGUACAAUUUAAUCCAUUUUCCAUACCGUCAAAUUGAAUAUAAAUAACGGAUAAAUUACGAUAAUGUUACUUCAUCAUGUUUUUCAAUUAUUUUUUCAUAAUCACAAAACCGUAAGUUUUUCCCUCCCAUCCGGAUUUCCGUGGUUUUGAAUUACAUUAAAAACGAGUUUCUCGAAACCAAGUCAUAACGUUAAGAACAUUUUACCACCUCCAAGUUG
This is a non-coding RNA of Cinara cedri, 244 nucleotides long. The record is from the annotation of a GenBank genome assembly. NCBI's taxonomy places the organism in Eukaryota, Metazoa, Arthropoda, Insecta, Hemiptera, Aphididae.